This 301-nucleotide ribosomal RNA is filed under the name uncultured bacterium. RNAcentral describes it as "partial 16S ribosomal RNA". It matches the Rfam family "Bacterial small subunit ribosomal RNA", at positions 509 to 807 of the family's 1533-position model. The record is from RNAcentral.
CAGUAGCCACGGUAAUACAGAGGGUGCGAGCGUUAAUCGGAUUUACUGGGCGUAAAGCGUGCGUAGGCGGCUUCUUAAGUCGGAUGUGAAAUCCUUGAGCUUAACUUAGGAAUUGCAUUCGAUACUGGGAAGCUAGAGUAUGGGAGAGGAUGGUAGAAUUCCAGGUGUAGCGGUGAAAUGCGUAGAGAUCUGGAGGAAUACCGAUGGCGAAGGCAGCCAUCUGGCCUAAUACUGACGCUGAGGUACGAAAGCAUGGGGAGCAAACAGGAUUAGAUACCCCUGUAGUCCCUGUCUCUUAUAC